RNAcentral lists this ribosomal RNA (433 nucleotides) under uncultured bacterium. Its description in RNAcentral is "partial 16S ribosomal RNA". It matches the Rfam family "Bacterial small subunit ribosomal RNA", at positions 29 to 507 of the family's 1533-position model. The record is from RNAcentral.
AACGAACGCUGGCGGCAUGCCUAACACAUGCAAGUCGAACGAGACCUUCGGGUCUAUUGGCGCACGGGUGCGUAACGCGUGGGAACCUGCCCUUAGGUUCGGAAUAACUCCCCGAAAGGGGUGCUAAUACCGGAUAAUGUCUUCGGACCAAAGAUUUAUCGCCUUUGGAUGGGCCCGCGUUGGAUUAGCUAGUUGGUAGUGUAAAAGCCUACCAAGGCGACGAUCCAUAGCUGGUCUGAGAGGAUGAUCAGCCACACUGGGACUGAGACACGGCCCAGACUCGUACGGGAGGGAGCAGUGGGGAAUAUUAGACAAUGGACGAAAGCCUGAUCAAGCAAUGCCGGGUGAGUGAUGAAGGCCUUAGGGUUGUAAAGCUCUUUUACCCGAGAUGAUAAUGACAGUACCGGGAGAAUAAGCUCCGGCUAACUACGUG